RNAcentral lists this ribosomal RNA (253 nucleotides) under uncultured bacterium. RNAcentral describes it as "partial 16S ribosomal RNA". It matches the Rfam family "Bacterial small subunit ribosomal RNA", at positions 524 to 776 of the family's 1533-position model. The record is from RNAcentral.
UACGGGGGGAGCAAACGUUGCUCGGAAUGAUUGGGCGUAAAGCGCGUGUAGGUGGUCUGUUAUGCCGGCUGUGAAAGCCCGCGGCUCAACCGCGGAAGUGCAGUCGGAACUGACAGGCUAGAGUGCUGAAGAGGAUGGCGGAAUGCCCAGUGUAGAGGUGAAAUGCGUAGAUAUCUGGAGGAACACCGGUGGCGAAGGCGGCAUCCUGGACCAUUAUUGACGCUGAGGAGCGAAAGCCAGGGGAGCAAACGGG